RNAcentral lists this ribosomal RNA (253 nucleotides) under uncultured bacterium. RNAcentral describes it as "partial 16S ribosomal RNA". It matches the Rfam family "Bacterial small subunit ribosomal RNA", at positions 524 to 776 of the family's 1533-position model. The record is from RNAcentral.
GACGAACCAUGCAAACGUUAUUCGGAUUCACUGGGCUUAAAGCGUGCGUAGGCGGUCUUGUUAGUCAGGUGUGAAAGCCCUCAGCCUAACUGAGGAAUUGCGCUUGAUACUGCAUGACUAGAGAAUGAUAGAGGUGGGUGGAACUGAUGGUGGAGCGGUGAAAUGCGUUGAUAUCAUCAGGAACACCAGUGGCGAAGGCGACCCACUGGGUCAUUUCUGACGCUGAGGCACGAAAGCUAGGGUAGCGAACGGG